Non-coding RNA from Manis javanica (Malayan pangolin), 828 nucleotides. The record is from RefSeq and is a predicted model, not a curated record. Lineage: Eukaryota; Metazoa; Chordata; Mammalia; Pholidota; Manidae.
UCUCGGCAAAAGUGCCCUCCUGAAUUAGGAAGGCGCAAAGAAUGAGGAACCCUGGCUUUAACCUCAGCUGAGAAGCCCGGGUAGGAAAGUGAAGAUCCUGUAUGUCAGCUGACCCUGAAGGCAACGCCCCGGGGAAUGACAGAGCACCAAGGUGGAAGGAGCCUGGAUCCCUGAAUCACUGCACAGAGCAGAGCUGCCCUGUCACCUAAUGAUGUUAUCUGAGAGCAUCAUCAACUUCUUUAAGCCGCUGCUUUGGUUUGGUUUGGCUUGGUGGGGGCCUGUCUGUUACAACAGCGUACCCGGAUUAACCUAGGUUCAUCUGAGGCAUAUACUAUAAUGUUCUUGUGGCAGAACCAACUAACUUUUUCAUCCGAGUAGAAUGUGGCUACUAGGAAAUUUAAGACUACGUAUGUGGCCUGAAGAACAUUUCCAUGAACCAGCGUGGCUCCGGAAGCUGAGGGCAGGAUUUGGGGGAAAGCGUGAAUGCAGUCCCCCACUACCACAAAUUAUGCAGUUGAGUUUCCCACGUUUGGGGAAGUCGUAGGAGUCAGCACGUCCGGAGUGCAGGGGAUCAGCCUCGCCCCAGGGAAACCACCUUCCUGAUCAUGGCAUCUCCCCUGCCAGGUAAGUGUCAAGCCAGUGUGUUUUAAAAAUCCUUUUUUCUGCUGCAUUUUGCUGGUGUGAACCAGGUACACUUGCUGGGGGCAGUAUGGGCUGUACACCUUAUGCCACAGGAAUAAAAGACAGCUGGCUUCUGGCACCCAUCUCUCCAGGCCAGGAGAACAUCAAAUGCUUGAAAAUGAGAAUCUUCAGUCUUCAGGGUGGCCA